This 465-nucleotide ribosomal RNA is filed under the name uncultured bacterium. RNAcentral's name for it is "partial 16S ribosomal RNA". It matches the Rfam family "Bacterial small subunit ribosomal RNA", at positions 28 to 507 of the family's 1533-position model. The record is from RNAcentral.
GACGAACGCUGGCGGCGUGCUUAACACAUGCAAGUCGAGCGAGGCCCCUCCUUCGGGAGGGUGGCCUAGCGGCGAACGGGUGAGUAACACGUGGGCAACCUGCCCUCAGCUCUGGGAUAACUCCGGGAAACCGGGGCUAAUACCGGAUACGACCUCCACGGGCAUCUGCGGAGGUGGAAAGUUUUUCGGCUGAGGAUGGGCCCGCGGCCUAUCAGCUAGUUGGUGGGGUAGUGGCCCACCAAGGCGACGACGGGUAGCCGGCCUGAGAGGGCGACCGGCCACACUGGGACUGAGACACGGCCCAGACUCCUACGGGAGGCAGCAGUGGGGAAUAUUGCGCAAUGGGCGAAAGCCUGACGCAGCGACGCCGCGUGAGGGACGAAGGCCUUCGGGUUGUAAACCUCUUUCAGCAGGGACGAAGCGAAAGUGACGGUACCUGCAGAAGAAGCACCGGCCAACUACGUG